Long non-coding RNA from Mauremys reevesii (Reeves's turtle), 455 nucleotides. RefSeq lists it as uncharacterized. The transcript is spliced from 4 exons. NCBI's taxonomy places the organism in Eukaryota, Metazoa, Chordata, Testudines, Geoemydidae. The record is from RefSeq and is a predicted model, not a curated record.
GUCCGGGGAAGCUGGGCCGGGAGGCCGUCUUAGUGCAUGCUGGGAGUUGGAGUCUUUUGAAAGUAGGGACAGAGACCAUCAUGGGGAAUGAGGGCAGGACUGUCACGCCGAGAAACCCGCCUGCCCAGCACCUGGGUGAGAGAGACCUGCAGGAAACUCGAACAGAGACCUCCGGGACCGAGGCUAUUAGGUGCUGCAGGAUCCCUGACGGUUUCUAGGUCAGGGUUAACAACCUGUGGCCAUACCAAGUCAACACCCUGAAGGCAGUCAUUGGUCAUGUGUGUGGAUCGGAUGGCUUCCUCACGAGUUUGCUAUUUGAGGAGGCAAUUGUUCAGGGGAGAUCCUCCACGGUGUUCUGUAUCUCGUGGGAAAGAGGAAGAGUUGAACCGUGAAGCCUGAUGCAUAACAACGGCUGGAGCAGUGGACCUGGCUGCAGUGUCCAUAGCAUCAAGGGC